AGCAGCCGCGGUAAUUCCAGCUCCAAUAGCGUAUAUUAAAGUUGUUGCAGUUAAAAAGCUCGUAGUUGAAUUUCGGGGUUAGUAGAUUGGUCGUGCCACUGGUAUGCACUGGUCUUACUGAUUCCUCCUUCCUGAUGAACCGUAAUGCCAUUAAUUUGGUGUUGCGGGGAGACUGGACUGUUACUUUGAAAAAUUAGAGUGUUUAAAGCAAGCUAACGCUUGAAUACAUUAGCAUGGAAUAAUGAAAUAGGACGAUCGAUCCUAUUUUGUUGGUUUCUAGGAUUGACGUAAUGAUUAAUAGGGAUAGUUGGGGGCAUUAGUAUUCAAUUGUCAGAGGUGAAAUUCUUGGAUUUAUUGAAGACUAACUACUGCGAAAGCAUUUGCCAAGGAUGUUUUCAUUAAUCAAGAACGAAAGUUAGGGGAUCGAAGACGAUCAGAUACCGUCGUAGU
RNAcentral lists this ribosomal RNA (450 nucleotides) under uncultured Glomus. RNAcentral describes it as "SSU rRNA". It matches the Rfam family "Eukaryotic small subunit ribosomal RNA", at positions 569 to 1024 of the family's 1831-position model. The record is from RNAcentral. Lineage: Eukaryota; Fungi; Glomeromycota; Glomeromycetes; Glomerales; Glomeraceae.